GCUGCUGUGAGUUGACUUCAUGGACACCUCUGUGGAAAGCAGACUUGCUAAGUCACCAUUGGACUACCACGGUGGACUGAGUCUUUGAAAAGCCAAGUCAUCAUUCCAGUCUUCAGGACAGAUGAAAAAUCUCUAUACUUUUCCACCGUAGAAUCUAGGUAUAUGAUUAGGAACCUGGAUAUUCUGACUUCUGGGUCCCUUCCAGACUUCCUGAGUCUGAAUUUCUGAGUAACCAUAAGAAU
This 242-nucleotide long non-coding RNA is filed under the name Canis lupus familiaris (dog). RNAcentral's name for it is "lncRNA (ENSCAFG00030000051.1)". The record is from RNAcentral. Lineage: Eukaryota; Metazoa; Chordata; Mammalia; Carnivora; Canidae.